GGGUUGUGAGGUUAAGCGACUAAGCGUACACGGUGGAUGCCCUGGCAGUCAGAGGCGAUGAAGGACGUGCUAAUCUGCGAUAAGCGUCGGUAAGGUGAUAUGAACCGUUAUAACCGGCGAUUUCCGAAUGGGGAAACCCAGUGUGUUUCGACACACUAUCAUUAACUGAAUCCAUAGGUUAAUGAGGCGAACCGGGGGAACUGAAACAUCUAAGUACCCCGAGGAAAAGAAAUCAACCGAGAUUCCCCCAGUAGCGGCGAGCGAACGGGGAGCAGCCCAGAGCCUGAAUCAGUAUGUGUGUUAGUGGAAGCGUCUGGAAAGGCGCGCGAUACAGGGUGACAGCCCCGUACACAAAAAUGCACAUGCUGUGAGCUCGAUGAGUAGGGCGGGACACGUGGUAUCCUGUCUGAAUAUGGGGGGACCAUCCUCCAAGGCUAAAUACUCCUGACUGACCGAUAGUGAACCAGUACCGUGAGGGAAAGGCGAAAAGAACCCCGGCGAGGGGAGUGAAAAAGAACCUGAAACCGUGUACGUACAAGCAGUGGGAGCACAGAGCAAUCUGUGUGACUGCGUACCUUUUG
This 581-nucleotide ribosomal RNA is filed under the name Escherichia coli. Its description in RNAcentral is "bacterial LSU rRNA". It matches the Rfam family "Bacterial large subunit ribosomal RNA", at positions 1 to 610 of the family's 2925-position model. Lineage: Bacteria; Pseudomonadati; Pseudomonadota; Gammaproteobacteria; Enterobacterales; Enterobacteriaceae. The record is from RNAcentral.